This 29-nucleotide non-coding RNA is filed under the name Mus musculus (house mouse). The record is from RNAcentral. Lineage: Eukaryota; Metazoa; Chordata; Mammalia; Rodentia; Muridae.
GAACACGAUUGGUGCUUUGCAUGGCAACU